RNAcentral lists this ribosomal RNA (788 nucleotides) under Rhodococcus aetherivorans. RNAcentral describes it as "bacterial SSU rRNA". It matches the Rfam family "Bacterial small subunit ribosomal RNA", at positions 112 to 912 of the family's 1533-position model. Lineage: Bacteria; Bacillati; Actinomycetota; Actinomycetes; Mycobacteriales; Nocardiaceae. The record is from RNAcentral.
AACACGUGGGUGAUCUGCCCUGCACUUUGGGAUAAGCCUGGGAAACUGGGUCUAAUACCGGAUAGGACCUCGGGAUGCAUGUUCCGGGGUGGAAAGGUUUUCCGGUGCAGGAUGGGCCCGCGGCCUAUCAGCUUGUUGGUGGGGUAACGGCCCACCAAGGCGACGACGGGUAGCCGGCCUGAGAGGGCGACCGGCCACACUGGGACUGAGACACGGCCCAGACUCCUACGGGAGGCAGCAGUGGGGAAUAUUGCACAAUGGGCGCAAGCCUGAUGCAGCGACGCCGCGUGAGGGAUGACGGCCUUCGGGUUGUAAACCUCUUUCAGUACCGACGAAGCGCGAGUGACGGUAGGUACAGAAGAAGCACCGGCCAACUACGUGCCAGCAGCCGCGGUAAUACGUAGGGUGCGAGCGUUGUCCGGAAUUACUGGGCGUAAAGAGCUCGUAGGCGGUUUGUCGCGUCGUCUGUGAAAACCCGCAGCUCAACUGCGGGCUUGCAGGCGAUACGGGCAGACUUGAGUACUGCAGGGGAGACUGGAAUUCCUGGUGUAGCGGUGAAAUGCGCAGAUAUCAGGAGGAACACCGGUGGCGAAGGCGGGUCUCUGGGCAGUAACUGACGCUGAGGAGCGAAAGCGUGGGUAGCGAACAGGAUUAGAUACCCUGGUAGUCCACGCCGUAAACGGUGGGCGCUAGGUGUGGGUUUCCUUCCACGGGAUCCGUGCCGUAGCUAACGCAUUAAGCGCCCCGCCUGGGGAGUACGGCCGCAAGGCUAAAACUCAAAGGAAUUG